This is a non-coding RNA of Sodiomyces alkalinus F11, 85 nucleotides long. The record is from the annotation of a RefSeq genome assembly. NCBI's taxonomy places the organism in Eukaryota, Fungi, Ascomycota, Sordariomycetes, Glomerellales, Plectosphaerellaceae.
GGGGAUAUGGUCUAGUGGUAUGAUUUCUGUUUUGCAUUGCAUGCAAGCUUACAGAAGGUCGUGCGUUCGAUCCGCGCUAUCUCCA